GCAUGUGCUUAAACUCAUUUUUCCCAGGCAGAGACUCCCAAGUCCUGCUGGUGGAGGUCCGUUAGCACAGCAUUCUGGGUAGGUGAGAGGGCUGGUUGUUGUUUUCUCUAUGUUUUGCAACUGAAAUAAGAAGACUUCUACCUCAGGGCUGUCAACCUGGCACCUGCUGCUCAUGUUGGUUUAAUGAGGAAAAAGAAAUAAAGGCACAGAGUGAGGCCCAGAAGCCUCAGCAGCACCUGCAGGCCAUGUGAAUGAAUUGGGAGAAACAGUUUCAAGUUUGUGGAAGAAGCCAUUAGGAGCAGUAGGGCCUGCAUAAUUUCCUCAGGAGCUGGAUGGUGCUGCUGGAAGUGAAAGACAGGCACUGGUAUUCGAGGAGAAUAAGGAUCUGACUGCUUCCAGAUGGCGACCUUUUCGGGUGUCAAACGUGCUGACAUAAGAGAGGAUAGAACUGGUAUUGUUGCCUGUUACUCCUUGAAAAUAAAUGCUAAGUAAGUGGUCCAUAUUCAUAAGCAGCAUAAUGUUAGAAGAGCAAACACACAAUAUCAUGGCUGUUUUGUGAAUACAAAAAUUGGGAACCUGCAGUUUUUUCUGGUCACAGAAGGAAAAAAGGUGAUCUCUUCUGGCAUCAUGAUUACAUGAGCAGACCACUCAUGUGAAUAUUAAGUUUGUGGGGAGCCAGCCACUUGCCAGUGCUGUCUGCACCAGAUCUGAAAAGUAACCUCACAGUGACAGAUCUCACAGUGACAUGAAAGUUACUGUGCUGGUCCAUAUUAAUCCAAAGGCUAUCGAGAAACAGGAUCGCUGUGGGUGGCCAAAUCCAAAACUGCAACUAUGGCAUGGUGGCACCUCCCUCACCAUGUUUCCAGGCUGAACCACUCAUGAAGAACAUGGUCAUACAGACAAGCCUUGAAAGUGUUGCUUUUUGCUUUUCUAUCACUCCCUGGUCCUAGGGGAGACUACCACAGG
This is a long non-coding RNA of Lacerta agilis (Sand lizard), 966 nucleotides long. RefSeq lists it as uncharacterized. NCBI's taxonomy places the organism in Eukaryota, Metazoa, Chordata, Lepidosauria, Squamata, Lacertidae. The transcript has 3 exons. The record is from RefSeq and is a predicted model, not a curated record.